Transfer RNA from Felis catus (domestic cat), 85 nucleotides. It matches the Rfam family "tRNA". Rfam says of the family: Transfer RNA (tRNA) molecules are approximately 80 nucleotides in length. Their secondary structure includes four short double-helical elements and three loops (D, anti-codon, and T loops). Further hydrogen bonds mediate the characteristic L-shaped molecular structure. tRNAs have two regions of fundamental functional importance: the anti-codon, which is responsible for specific mRNA codon recognition, and the 3' end, to which the tRNAs corresponding amino acid is attached (by aminoacyl-tRNA synthetases). tRNAs cope with the degeneracy of the genetic code in two manners: having more than one tRNA (with a specific anti-codon) for a particular amino acid; and 'wobble' base-pairing, i.e. permitting non-standard base-pairing at the 3rd anti-codon position. NCBI's taxonomy places the organism in Eukaryota, Metazoa, Chordata, Mammalia, Carnivora, Felidae. The record is from Rfam.
GUCUGGGUGGCUCAGUUGGUUGAGAGUCUGACUUCAGCUCAGGUCAUGAUCUCACAGUUUGUGAGUUCGAGCCCCACAUCAGGCA